RNA transcript from Populus euphratica (Euphrates poplar), 2279 nucleotides. It is a transcript of the gene named E2F target protein 1 (ETG1), with no coding region annotated. NCBI's taxonomy places the organism in Eukaryota, Viridiplantae, Streptophyta, Magnoliopsida, Malpighiales, Salicaceae. The transcript has 16 exons. The record is from RefSeq and is a predicted model, not a curated record.
AAAUUAAACUAAAAAAAAAAAAAGAAUCAAAGAAAGGAAAGAAGAAAGCGCGGGGGAAGCUAGGGCUACCGUGUCUGUACCUAAAUAAUGGCGGGAAAAAAGGCACCCCGCAAGAAUUGGCGGGAAAAUGUCCUUAUUAUCAUCAUUUAGCAGGCAAAGCCAGUUUCACUCUCCACAGAUCUGAAACUAAACCACUAAAUUCAGAUCAGAAAAUGGUGGGACCGAUGUACGAUUUCCUCGCAAACCCUCUCGGAGCCGUCCGAUUAACAUUUGACAAGACAAUCGGGUCCGGAACGGACCCGUCCUCCUUCGACGGCAAAGAUUGGGGCGCCGUCGACCUCUUCCGCCACUUCCUCUUCGACCAAGCCCGCCUCUCCCAGGUUCCAAUUCUUAAUGUUGCAACAAUAAAUUGGAUUAAACCGAACACUCUAGUUCGGUUUCGGGGAAUGAUACAAGACAUGUUGGGAAAUGAAUUAUAUGUUGGUGCUUAUAAGGAUGAUUCAGUUUGGAGGACCAACAAAUUCAUGGAUAUCUCCCAAUGCCCCGUGGAACUUAAUUCGCCUGAUAUGCGUCUCUGGGAGCGUCGUUUAUUGUACUGUGUUCCGGUUCCGGGAUUAAAUUCGUGGGCUGAAUCUACUUCUGAGGUAGCAGUAAAUAUGUGCAUGGAUUCGACUUCUGAACAAAGAGAUAAGCGUAGGAGAAUGGACAUUGAAGCUGUGGAUCCCAAUGAUUUUCCUGUCUCAGGUGAUGAAUCUGAAGAUUCUCCUAGUGCGAAAAGAAUGAGAGAGGAUCCCUCAUCUUCACAGUACCUGGAUCCUAAAAAUGAAGGGCCUUCUUCAAGCCAUGUUAUUCUCCCAGACGUUGAUAGAGAUUCUCUUCCUUGUCUAGUAAAGAUAUAUGAUUCUCCAGAGUCUGAGUUGAAGCUAAAUGAUGUUUUUGAAUUUGUCGGGGUCCUCACUUUUGAUUCUGAACUUCUAUCUGAGAAGGUUGAUCAGGAUGAGUUCUCUAAUGGUCUUGGUGAUGACGUGUCUGUCAAUUUGCCACCCAACAAGGUGCCACGCCUCCAUUGUGUUAUUCAUAGGAAACUCACAGUCUAUGACUUUCUGCAGAACUCCCCUCUGACAGAGCCAAAACCCCAUUUAGUCAAAGAGGCAAGGGAAGCACUGUUGAGGCAUCUCACAUCUAUUCUUGGCAAUGAUGGGGUAGCAGCUCAUUUCAUGUUGUUGCAUCUUCUGUCUAGGGUACAUGCCAGAGCAGAUAAUGUUGCUGUUGGGAAGCUUUCUUUGAACCUUACUUGUAUUAGCAAAGAGAUUGCAUCUGUAUUUGGCACUAGACUAAGUAUUGUCAUCAAGAAUCUUCUUCCCGUCACAAAAUGCAUACCCCUGACUGUGGAAUAUCUCAACAUGGCUUCUCUUGCUCCCAAAAAGGAUUAUCAAAUAAAUAGACUGAUACCUGGAGUUCUACAGCUAGCUGAGGGCUCACACUUAAUGUUUGAUGAGACAUGUUUGGAAACAGGAACCCUCAAUUCUGUUGGGGUUGAGAACGCAAGGUUGCUUAAAGCCCUGACGGAGUUGCAAAAGGUUGAGUAUGACUUUAAGUAUUACAAGAUGGAGAUGAUGGCUGAUGUACAAAUGCUAAUAUUGUCUGAGGGGAAAUCAAACAUCUUGCCAGCUGAUAUAAUUAUGCCAUUCCAGCCUUCCUCGGCAGGUUCCUCAGAAGUAGUGCCUGCAGAAGUCCUGGAAGCUUGGAGAUGGUACUUGGCUACUGUUAGAUCUAUGCCUCAUUUGAUCGAGGCAGAUAUGCAGCAGGUGGUAGAAAAUGACUUGGUUAUUGCUAGGCAAGCAGAUCGAAGCUUAGGCAGCCAAGACUUCAGCAGAUGGCUGACAAUGGGCCGCCUCAUUUCUGCCAGUUUUGGCGAGACCUCACUCACAUUGGAGCACUGGCAAAUGGUAAAGGAGCUGGAGAGGCUAAGGAUAGAUAGGCUCAAGUGAAACAUGCCUUUUCAUGCUGGUACUCAAACAUGUAAAACUAAAGGCAUUCUAAUAAGCUUGGAUUAGCGGGCAUUUCCUUGAUUACAUAAAAGAGGAAUCCGGCACUGCAUUGGGAGUGCCUUGUAUUGUAUUGGAGGUAUUUAUCAAUUAAGGAGUAACGAAAGGGUGUUAUUUGGAUGCGUUAAGAUAUUUGUUUGUAGAGAAUUUAUAUAGACCAUUUUUCACGAACAUAACAAUUGGAAAGGCGAAGUUUACCUAGAAAUUUCGAGGAGUUAACAAAGCUAAAAC